Molecule: ribosomal RNA, 83 nt
Filed under: Periophthalmus magnuspinnatus
Lineage: Eukaryota; Metazoa; Chordata; Actinopteri; Gobiiformes; Gobiidae
Source: RNAcentral
ACUCGUGGCCAAAUCUCCUUGUCAAAGCCUGAUCUCAGAAGCUAAGUGGGGCUGGGCCUGGUUAGUACUUGGAUGCCAGACUC